AAGUCGUAACAAGGUCUCCGUUGGUGAACCAGCGGAGGGAUCAUUAGAGAGUAUAAAAACUCCCAACCCAUGUGAACAUACCUACGUUGCCUCGGCGGAGGGCCUAAAACACCCCCCGCCGCUGGCCCAUUAAACUCUGUUUUAUUUUGAAAUUCUGAAUAUUAAAGCAAAUAAGUUAAAACUUUCAACAACGGAUCUCUUGGUUCUG
This 208-nucleotide unclassified non-coding RNA is filed under the name Pseudoanthostomella sepelibilis. RNAcentral describes it as "partial internal transcribed spacer region". The stretch from base 1 to 46 matches the Rfam family "Eukaryotic small subunit ribosomal RNA", at positions 1786 to 1831 of the family's 1831-position model. The record is from RNAcentral. Lineage: Eukaryota; Fungi; Ascomycota; Sordariomycetes; Xylariales.